GAACUGCGAUAAGUAAUGUGAAUUGCAGAAUUCAGUGAAUCAUCGAGUCUUUGAACGCACAUUGCGCCCCCUGGCAUUCCGGGGGGCAUGCCUGUCCGAGCGUCAUUGCUGCCCUUCAAGCCCGGCUUGUGUGUUGGGUCGUCGUCCCCUCCGGGGGACGGGCCCGAAAGGCAGCGGCGGCACCGCGUCCGGUCCUCGAGCGUAUGGGGCUUCGUCACCCGCUCGAUAAGGACCGGCCGGGCGCCAGCCGGCGUCUCCAACCUUUUUUUCUCAGGUUGACCUCGGAUCAGGUAGGGAUACCCGCUGAACUUAAGC
This 315-nucleotide unclassified non-coding RNA is filed under the name plant metagenome. RNAcentral describes it as "partial contains 5.8S ribosomal RNA, internal transcribed spacer 2, and large subunit ribosomal RNA". The stretch from base 1 to 105 matches the Rfam family "5.8S ribosomal RNA", at positions 50 to 154 of the family's 154-position model. The record is from RNAcentral.